GAUGAACGCUGGCGGCGUGCUUAACACAUGCAAGUCGAACGGAAAGGCGCAAGCUUGCUUGGGCUCUCGAGUGGCGAACGGGUGAGUAACACGUGGGUGAUAUGUCCUGCACUUCGGGAUAUGCCUGGGAAACUGGGUCUAUUAUAGGAUAGGACCACAUUUUGGAUGGUGUGGUGGAAUGUUUUUCGGUGUGGGAUGAGCUCGCGGCCUAUCAGCUUGUUGGUGGGGUAAUGGCCUACCAAGGCGUCGACGGGUAGCCGGCCUGAGAGGGUGUACGGCCGCACUGGGACUGAGAGACGGCCCAGACUCCGACGGGAGGCAGCAGGGGGGAAUAUUGCACGAUGGGCGCAAGCCUGAUGCAGCAACGCCGCGGGGGGGAUGACGGCCUUCGGGUUGUAAACUCCUUUCGCUAGGGAAGAAGCGAUUUUGUGACGGUACCUGGAGAAAAAGCACCGGCUAACUACGUG
Molecule: ribosomal RNA, 467 nt
Filed under: uncultured bacterium
Lineage: Bacteria
Description: partial 16S ribosomal RNA
Rfam family: Bacterial small subunit ribosomal RNA
Source: RNAcentral